ACCCAGAAAAAAACACUGUAGUGCAAGGAUAAAGUUAUUCUGCUUCUCACUGUUCUUAAUACCUCUUAUGGCCAUGAUGUUAGAAAGUGUCAGUGUUCCCUGUUGUGCUGACAUCACAGAGCUAGGGUGGUGACGUACUACCCAUUCACCUACUGGAAGAAGCACCUUCAUGCUGUGAAAUUCCUCCUACCUGAGAAAGAAAACUUUUUUUUCCCCAUACUUUCAAGAGGCAGAGGCAGUCAGUUUGAAUAGCUAUAGUUUUUUAGCAUAGGUGAACAAAAAAGGAAGAGAAGAACCAAAAAUAGCAUCUUCUCUGAGAGCAUGAAGGUUUUGCUUCUUCCACAGCACACUGUAUCAACACUGCUCCACAAAAUGGCAGCUGGCUGGCAGACACAAGCUUCUGAGAAGGAUGAUGUAAUACUCCCUGGAAAAUUAAACAGCUGCCAUGAAGCUAUACAUCCUGCUGUGCUGGCUCCCAAAAUGUAGUCUUGAGGCCCAGAGUGUGGUACACCAUGAGUGCCAGGCCUGCAUCCCCACCAGGGAAAGGCUGUGCCCCCCAGGAGGGAGGAGACACCACUGAACCCUCACUCAUCAGAAAGCAGGCAUCCAGAUUGUCCCAGAAAGACAGACAUAUGGUGAGCUGCUGUCCGGAAGAGUCUUACAGCAGUUUCAGCUGCUUAGUGAAACCUGUGGAGCCACAUGAGAUGAGAGAAAGGAGCACAAUGCAGAUAUCUUCCAGCCUUUCAAAGACUGUAAAGGGUGGAUGCCUGCAGAAGGUAC
This 780-nucleotide long non-coding RNA is filed under the name Coturnix japonica (Japanese quail). RNAcentral describes it as "lncRNA (ENSCJPG00005007183.1)". The record is from RNAcentral. Lineage: Eukaryota; Metazoa; Chordata; Aves; Galliformes; Phasianidae.